RNAcentral lists this ribosomal RNA (523 nucleotides) under uncultured bacterium. RNAcentral's name for it is "bacterial SSU rRNA". It matches the Rfam family "Bacterial small subunit ribosomal RNA", at positions 922 to 1442 of the family's 1533-position model. The record is from RNAcentral.
CGCACAAGCGGUGGAGCAUGUGGUUUAAUUCGAUGCAACGCGAAAAACCUUACCUGGGUUUGACAUCCUCUGACCGUCCCUGAAAGGGGAUUUUUUCUGUUUACAGAAACAGAGUGACAGGUGCUGCAUGGCUGUCGUCAGCUCGUGUCGUGAGAUGUUGGGUUAAGUCCCGCAACGAGCGCAACCCUUGUUUUUAGUUGCCAAUAUUAAGUUAGGAACUCUAAAAAUACUGCCCCGGUUAACGGGGAGGAAGGUGGGGAUGACGUCAAGUCCUCAUGGCCUUUAUACCCAGGGCUACACACGUGCUACAAUGGACUGUACAAAGGGUCGCAACCUCGUGAGUGGAAGCUAAUCUCAUAAAGCAGUCCCUAGUUCGGAUUGGAGUCUGCAACUCGACUCCAUGAAGCUGGAAUCGCUAGUAAUCGUGGAUCAGAAUGCCACGGUGAAUACGUUCCCGGGCCUUGUACACACCGCCCGUCACACCACGAAAGUUGGCUGUACCAGAAGUUGCUGGGCUAACCCG